AGUGGGAUAACUGGGUCAAAUGGUGGUUCCAACCCAAGUUUUUUGAGGAAUAUCCACACUGCUUUCCAAAGUGGUUGCACCAAUUUGCAGUCCCACCAACAAU
Molecule: microRNA precursor, 103 nt
Filed under: Marmota monax (woodchuck)
Lineage: Eukaryota; Metazoa; Chordata; Mammalia; Rodentia; Sciuridae
Source: RNAcentral